UGGCGGACGGGUGAGUAAUGUCUGGGAAACUGCCCGAUGGAGGGGGAUAACUACUGGAAACGGUAGCUAAUACCGCAUAACGUCGCAAGACCAAAGAGGGGGACCUCCGGGCCUCGCGCCAUCAGAUGAACCCAUAUGGGAUUAGCUUGUAGGUAAGGUAACGGCUUACCUAGGCGACGAUCCCUAGCUGGUCUGAGAGGAUGACCAGCCACACUGGAACUGAGACACGGUCCAG
This 235-nucleotide ribosomal RNA is filed under the name uncultured bacterium. RNAcentral's name for it is "partial 16S ribosomal RNA". It matches the Rfam family "Bacterial small subunit ribosomal RNA", at positions 96 to 334 of the family's 1533-position model. The record is from RNAcentral.